Molecule: non-coding RNA, 534 nt
Organism: Ictidomys tridecemlineatus (thirteen-lined ground squirrel)
Lineage: Eukaryota; Metazoa; Chordata; Mammalia; Rodentia; Sciuridae
Source: RefSeq, a predicted model, not a curated record
AUCACAAUGACUACUCUCUGCUCAGCAGUAAGCCAUGGCUGUGCCCAGGAGACGGGAGUUCAGCAGGGGGCAGGAUGCAUGCCAUCUCCAUCCCAAGGGACCUACUUGCCAUUUCUCCAGUAAGGUUGAAGACACCCCGGUCACAUCUAGGCCUCCAUACACGCGGUUCCCUGAUUGAGAAAAUCAACUCCCUCUUUGGAGAAAACCCACUGCUGAUAGGACUCUAAUAACAGACUACCAUCGCCACUACCUUAGACCCCCACUGACGUGCGUGCACUCACUGAACCACGCCCAGGGGUCUCUCCUGGGGUGGGUGAGGGCUCCCUGAGGAAGGCCGCAUUUUAGAUACACUUGUUCAUCAGAGAUCAACAGGAACUCAAACGGAUUUAAUUUUCUCUCACCUCCAGAAAGGUCCAUCUUAUUGCUCUGUACAUUUUCUUCUGGUGAGUCUCUCUGAAAUAAGAAAAAGUAACACAUUAGCAGACCUUAAUUCGUUAAUGAAAACAAAUAAAAGUGAAUUUUUAGUGUAUUUCA